UAUGUGAUCGUCUCUCGCAUAUCAAUAAGCGGAGGAAAAGGAACUAACAAGGAUUCCCCUAGUAACGGCGAGUGAAGCGGGAAGAGCUCAAAUUUGAAAUCUUAAAGGGUUUCCCUUUACGAAUUGUAGUUUAAAGAAGUGUUUUCUGUUGAGGUUUUGGUAAAAGUUCUUUGGAAUAGGACAUCAUAGAGGGUGAGAAUCCCGUAUUUGACCUUUACUUUCAACUUUGUGAUACACUUUCAAAGAGUCGGAUUGUUUGGGAACGCAGUCCAAAAUGGGUGGUAAAUUUCAUCUAAAGCUAAAUAUUGGCGUGAGACCGAUAGCGAACAAGUACCGUGAGGGAAAGAUGAAAAGAACUUUGAAAAGAGAGUUAAACAGUACGUGAAAUUGUCAAAAGGGAAGCGUUUGACACCAGUGUUGUUUUUCCGAAAAUCAAUUAAGAAGGGCUUGAUUUUGUGUUGUAUUGACCUUAUCAGCUUUCUUCACUCUUUUUCGAGUCUUUCUUAAUGCACUUUUCGGUUAACAAGUCAACAUCAAUUUCUUUUGUUGUAAAAGGGUAUUUGGAAGGUGGCUUUCUUUUCGGAGAAAGUGUUUAUAGCCUUAUACCUCUACAAUCGGGGAGAUUGAGGUCUGCAGCGUAGAUCCUUCGGGGCUAGAUACACUUGUGCUAAGUUAUAGCUUUUCAUAGACAACUUGUUGACUAUGUUUAGUCAUGUAGCUUACCCGCUUGUGCUAUUUUACCUACGCUUAGGAUGUUGAUCUACAGAGCGAGAGU
RNAcentral lists this ribosomal RNA (775 nucleotides) under uncultured Neocallimastigales. RNAcentral describes it as "partial large subunit ribosomal RNA". It matches the Rfam family "Eukaryotic large subunit ribosomal RNA", at positions 24 to 640 of the family's 3401-position model. Lineage: Eukaryota; Fungi; Neocallimastigomycota; Neocallimastigomycetes; Neocallimastigales. The record is from RNAcentral.